RNAcentral lists this ribosomal RNA (1351 nucleotides) under Aniptodera longispora. RNAcentral describes it as "bacterial SSU rRNA". It matches the Rfam family "Eukaryotic small subunit ribosomal RNA", at positions 133 to 1107 of the family's 1831-position model. The record is from RNAcentral. Lineage: Eukaryota; Fungi; Ascomycota; Sordariomycetes; Microascales; Halosphaeriaceae.
UACUACUUGGAUAACCGUGGUAAUUCUAGAGCUAAUACAUGCUAAAAAUCCCGACUUCGGAAGGGAUGUAUUUAUUAGAUGAAAAACCAAUGCCCUUUCCGGGCUUUCUGGUGAUUCAUGAUAACUUGUCGAAUCGCAUGGCCUUGCGCCGGCGAUGGUUCAUUCAAAUCUCUUCCCUAUCAACUUUCGAUGCGAAGGUCUUGUCUUCGCAUGGUUGCAACGGGUAACGGAGGGUUAGGGCUCGACCCCGGAGAAGGAGCCUGAGAAACGGCUACUACAUCCAAGGAAGGCAGCAGGCGCGCAAAUUACCCAAUCCCGACACGGGGAGGUAGUAACAACAAAUACUGAUACAGGGCUCUUUUGGGUCUUGUAAUUGGAAUGAGUACAAUUUAAAUCCCUUAACGAGGAACAAUUGGAGGGCAAGUCUGGUGGACAUCCAGUUUCCCGAGAUGAUGCUGGCGCCAGCAAGAGUGGGGGGCGUUUCUGCCGUUUUGGUGGGUGGCCUUCUGACCCGCUAGUCGAGUAUCCGUUUCCAGGGCGGGAGGAUACCGGCGAGACAACCUGGAUCGGGGAAGGCUAAGGGACUCGUCGUCCUAUGCUAAUCCCGAGCAGAGCCGUGGGGGAGUGAUCCCUCUCAUCGUGCCUGUGUAGAGCGCGCUAAGGUGUCGGUCGUCCUGCCUCGGAUUCGGUCAGGGCAGGCGGCUUAAGGUACGUGCCGGCCCCCUCGAAAGAGGGUUUCUUAUCUGGAGCGCCCGCCACGCAAAGGAUUUGAAAACUACCGCGGAAGAAUUAGACGCGGUAGGGGAAGAAAAAGUGGCCAGCAGCCGCGGUAAUUCCAGCUCCAAUAGCGUAUAUUAAAGUUGUUGUGGUUAAAAAGCUCGUAGUUGAACCUUGGGCCUGGCUGGCCGGUCCCCCUCACCGGGUGCACUGAUCCAGCCGGGUCUUUCCCGCUGUGGAACCCCAUGGCCUUCACUGGUCGUGGCGGGGAAACAGGACUUUUACUUUGAAAAAAUUAGAGUGCUCCAGGCAGGCCUAUGCUCGAAUACAUUAGCAUGGAAUAAUGGAAUAGGACGCGCGGUUCUAUUUUGUUGGUUUCUAGGACCGCCGUAAUGAUUAAUAGGGACAGUCGGGGGCAUCAGUAUUCAAUUGUCAGAGGUGAAAUUCUUGGAUCUAUUGAAGACUAACUACUGCGAAAGCAUUUGCCAAGGAUGUUUUCAUUGAUAAGGAACGAAAGUUAGGGGAUCGAAGACGAUCAGAUACCGUCGUAGUCUUAACUAUAAACUAUGCCGACUAGGGAUCGGACGAUGUUAUUUGUUGACUCGUUCGGCACCUUUCGAGAAAUCAAAGUGCU